RNAcentral lists this non-coding RNA (30 nucleotides) under Homo sapiens (human). Lineage: Eukaryota; Metazoa; Chordata; Mammalia; Primates; Hominidae. The record is from RNAcentral.
UCCGCCGCUGAACUGAUGGUUUAAAUAUUC